This 792-nucleotide ribosomal RNA is filed under the name uncultured bacterium. Its description in RNAcentral is "bacterial SSU rRNA". The stretch from base 19 to 525 matches the Rfam family "Bacterial small subunit ribosomal RNA", at positions 37 to 537 of the family's 1533-position model. The record is from RNAcentral.
UGACCUCACAUUGUCCGAUGGCGGCCCUUGUUAACAUGUCAGUCGAACGGUAACAUAACCUUCUUGCUUCUUUGAUGACGAGGGGCCUACGGGUGAUUAAUGCUUGCGAAUCCUCCUGAUGGAGGGGGAUAACUAUGGGAAGCUGGGGAAAUACCGCGUACAAUCGUGCUGAUGAAAGUGUGGGACCUUCUCCCACUUGCCAUAGCAUGAGCCCAAGUGGGAUUAGGUCUGUGGUGAGGUUUGGCUCACCACUUGACGAUCUCUACUUGGUCUGAGAGGAUGACCACAUUGUCUGGGACUGGUACACCGCCCCAACUCCUACAGGAGGAUUUGACGGGGAAUAUUGCUUCCUGGGGGCAACCCUGACGCAGCCAUGCCGCGUGAAUGACUGAAGGAUUCGGGUUGUAAAGUUCUUUCGCUGACGAUGAAGGAUGUAGUGUUACUUCUCCAGACAAUUGAUGUUAAUCACCAUGCACCACCUGUCUAACUCUGUUGCCAAGGAAAACUCUAUUACUAAAGGUGCGAGAGUUAUGUCGAGUAACUGGGACGGAUCUGCCACGUUGCUUCGCUAUUUACCUGAUGUGUGACCUCUUGGGCGUUACCCCGUCAAUUGCAUUUCAGUACUGACCUUGUAGACUAUUUUAGCGAGGGGAAUGCUUCCAUGCUGUAGCUGCGAAAUGCGUACACAUGUGGAGGUAAUAACCGAUGGCACUCGCCGCCUUCCUGGGAGAACAUAUGACGGUCAUCGCAUUCAUAGUUUGCUCCACCAAGACUAUGCAAUGACAUCACCGU